Molecule: transfer RNA, 65 nt
Filed under: Dipodomys ordii (Ord's kangaroo rat)
Lineage: Eukaryota; Metazoa; Chordata; Mammalia; Rodentia; Heteromyidae
Rfam family: tRNA
About the family: Transfer RNA (tRNA) molecules are approximately 80 nucleotides in length. Their secondary structure includes four short double-helical elements and three loops (D, anti-codon, and T loops).
Source: Rfam by way of RNAcentral
GGUGGCUCAGUGGUAGAGUGCUUACCUUGUAUGCAGGAGGCCCUGGGUUCAAUUCCUCAGCACCA